Long non-coding RNA from Pteropus alecto (black flying fox), 5084 nucleotides. RefSeq lists it as uncharacterized. The transcript has 4 exons. The record is from RefSeq and is a predicted model, not a curated record. Lineage: Eukaryota; Metazoa; Chordata; Mammalia; Chiroptera; Pteropodidae.
UGCGGAGCCUCAGGGAGCCCGGCGGCUUAGCAGUUUAAUGGGUGAAUAAGGACAUUUCAGAAGUGUCCCCUGCCAUGCAUCCAACACGGCUUGUCGCACCGGGAGGGGACGAGCCACUCGCACCUGCUUUCACUGACGGAGGUCUUGAGAAAGUCACUUGAUAUUUUUAAAAGAUGGAUGGACCCACCGCUUCCUGGGCUCUGUCCGAGUCGCAGUGGGUGUGACUGCUACUGCUAAGCCCGCGAAGGGGUCGCCGCGUCCGAGGUCGUGGUCCCUUGGUCACCUGGUGUCGCUGCAACGGAUGGGCCGAGUGCUUUGUUGAAAGUAAGAGGAGACGGUGGCUGGCUGCUGCUCCGGAACCGGAAGUUCUCGGCUGCUGUCAGGUCGCACGUUGUCACGCGUUUGGCAGGAGGUAGGAGUGGGCCCGGCUCAGCGGUGAGUGGACAGGAAGAUUUAAGUGUUAACAAGGCAUUUAUGAGUAGCUGGCUACUCUGCCUGCUCCUAAGACAAGCUCGUGGACUGCAGCCAGGAACGUGGCAGGUCACCUUGCAGGAUUCCUACGUGGGACAGCUCUGCAGGCCGGCUGCAUGUGCGUUCUCCAGCAGGCGGGGAGCUCAGAGCCAUUCCAGCCACACCAGGUCUGCGGUCAUGCUGGCAGAAGCCAAGAGCCGUUUCUUAGAGCGGCUGAACAGAUCUACACAUGGCAGAAGCCUGAGGACAGUGGCGCCCCACCGAGAUGGCAGCAUACUCCUGACGACCCUGUUCGUGCUUCCUGUGAGCCCACCCCUGGGUGUGGCCAAGGAAGCCCAGUGUGACAAAUGCAUGGAGAGCCGGUGGCCAGGGGGCCAGCCCCAGGAGUCCUUUACAGCACCCACCCGUCAGCCAAGCACUUGGGUGGGAUGGGGAGAAGCCAAGUGUGUGUCAGUGCACACUUGCCAAGGGCCGAGCUCAGGGGUGACAGGCACGGGCCUGCUGGACAUGCCUCGGGUAUGUAGGUACUUCAGAUGGAGGAGUUCAGGGUCAUGCCCCAGACAGCUAGUCAGAUUGUAUGCCAGGUAAUAGAACUGACAAAUCCCGAACCUAAGCCGGCCCCGUCUCCAGAACCCAGUCCAAUUUAUGACCAGCUCUAAAGAGUUGGGUCGAGAUUUAAAAUGCCCUACCCUAUGGAAAAAGCCUUUUCAUAGGUCUGGCUGUGAUGCUAGCCCGUGAGCUUAAUGCCACCAACUGCUGAGUCUGCAGAAGGGCCUUGGGAGGGACUAGUUUAAUGCUUAGCAUCUCCUCCAGUGGACUCACUCUGUAACGGGGAGGGAAGAUGGCUGACCCCAAAAUCGGAUCCUAAUCUCCGAAGUGAGCAGUACUCCUGUGAUGAGCGAGUGCUGGGGUAACCACCGUCGGUGGUCCCGAGCGGUAGACGGCACUGGAUGGACGGUUCUGGAUACGUGGGAAACGAGCACAUGCCCAGCUUCUGGCACAGUGGGGAGGAAGCCGCACCAUCGGAAUAAUCCAACCUGGGCUUUUCCUCCUACCGAGCCAACCGGAACGAGUUAGGAGUCCCCCUUAACCACAGUCUAAGGAGAAGGACUGAGAAGCCUUGAAGUUGGGGAUCACAGAGGGGAGAUGAAUGGCCGCCUCAAAAAAUUGAAACCUAUGGUCUUGCCACUUGGGCACAAGAUGGGAGUCGGGGCUGCCAAACCCCCACAUACAUGCUUAAUUGGAUCAUCAGCUCACAGGCAGAACUAGAAAUCAUUGCUAGCCAGACAGCCCUGGCCCUAGAUGCGCACAGCAGUGUAUCAGAACCACGUACCUUGAGACAAUUUGCCAGCAGAAGGGAGCGUGGGGAGAGUGACCGCUCUGACUGCUGUUCUAGAUGCUGGGACAGCAGUAACUGACAGCAACUCCAGGAGGGUGGCACGUGUACCUGUCCAGGUUUGGGAAGGGCGGGGCCCCAGUGGGAUCUUUGGGGGGAUAGUUUUUCACCUUUGGAGAAUUCAGGGCCUUGAUUGGGGCAGUCCUUUUACUAGGAAUUUGCCUGGUCCCUUGUCUUGCCCAGCUUGUCAUCUGUUCCAUCCCCUCAUUGAAGCUGUAGUUGGAAAAAGAAAAACUGCAGCCCCCGUGUUCACGUUAUGGAAACGCGCCCGUAGACCAAGAGCAGCGUGAAGGCGAUGCGCUCUGGCCCAGUCUUGGGCCCGGGCAUUCAAGGGGACACGGGGCAGCGGAGGCCGAGCCAGCCGUUUCCUGCAAUGGCUGAAGGCUGUUUCCUUCCCGUGAUGGGUGAAAGACUUGCCAGUGGCACAGGCCACCUGCUCUGGUUGGUUACUCCCAUUACGGCCAGCCAGCAGUUCCAGAUACACUCGGGAGAAAGACAGGCAAGCCCGACUGAGGAAGUGUGAGGCGUGUGUGACCCAUGCUAGGUUUGGGGCUCAGCCUUUGACGUGAACCCACUGCAAUAAACGCUGCUUCCUGCUUCCGGCCUCGGUGUCUGUCCCAGGUGUCCUGCAAUGUGGUAAGGAGCUCCCUCGUUUAAACAAUACAGUGAGACGGUUUGUGUCUGUUUCUGAAAACGGAGUGUGACAUUUAAGCAGGAGCUGCAGACCGGUGCUUCUCCCCCUGGGGCAGUCGUGUGCCCUCCUAGGCCGGGAACAGCGCUGAGGACAAAUGGUGGGCAGAGGCCGCGGUGCUGCUGUGCCUUCUCCAGUGGGCAGACGGGGCCUGAGUGUCCAUAACGCUGAGGCUGGCCAGCCCUGCUGUGGCCUGUGGGCCCCUGAAGCCAGUGUGGGGGCGGCUGGCCUGGUGGCUCAUCUCCCCGUCUCAGGUGCAGUGGUCUAGGAGGGGCACGGGCCCAGCUUGGUGCUCAGUGGCCAGACAGUGAAAGAUACCACAGCACGUGCUCUGUCACUUCAGGACGGUGGGGCUGGGAGGGAGGCUGGCUGGGGGUCUGAAGCUUCUGGAUGCUUGCACUGGGCAGUGGUUUGCUAGAACCUGGCUGGGAACGGAGCAUGGAAUCACCCUCACCUGGGGGAGGAGUCGGGGUCCGCGGGCCACUGGAAAUGAACCCUUGAGCGGGAAGGGGUCAGCCCUGUGGCCCUGCCACCAGGUGCGGGGUGUCAUGCCCGUCUCCUGUGCUGCCCAUGGCAAUGCUUGGAGCACUCGUGCUCGGCUCUGCCCGCACUCCGCAGCAGCACCUUCCAGAGCCCAGGCCCGGCGGGGAGUCGUCACAGUUACGAGCGAAUGGUGCGCGCUCCUGCGGCCCCUCUGUGCAGGGCUCACGUGCACAUUUGGGGACACGCAGGUGGCCGUGGUAGAAGCGCAGCUCUGUCUCCAGGCGAAGUGGCCUCGUGUGGGACGUCUCUGUGCAAACAGUUGUCGUGUGCUCGGCAGGGAUCCGCUCAGCUACCGACAGCCCGGUGGAGCCCGGACGCAAACAGCCCACUAACGCACGUCGGCGGAGGGUGCCGGGUGGCCCUGUGGCCACACGAUCCUCACUUCCCACAGCUAAGGGGGCCACACUCAUUUCCAGUGGUGGCGAUUCCUGGUGACUGUCCCCCCGCAACCUGCGUGGCCGUGGCGAGACAGUCAUGCCGUGCUGGCAACGCUGCUCGAUGGGCCGAGGCGGCUCCUCAGGUCUUGGGAGGCCUGCGGUCCGGUGACGUAGUUCCGAGGCGGUGACAGAGCUGGCUCCGUGGGCGGCACCACCGUCCUGGCUCCCGAGCGGGCCAGGCUGUCUGCUUCCGUGCUGGUCUUGUGUGGGGCGACUGCUCGGGGCGGUGACGACACGUCACGUCACGUGGUUCUUGCCAUCUUCACGCAGAGGCCUGCAGGCGGCCCGGGAACUGCGGCGGCGCGCGGCCUCCACCGCGGGUGGCGGCUCAGGUCCGGGGCCGGCCUCCGUGCGGCGGGGAACGUCGUCAGUGGGGCGAGCCUCCAGCCCUCCAUCGCGUGGACGGCCCCUCCCACGGGGCCCGUGCGUGAGGAGCCUCGUGGGUCGUGAGCCCACUUUUCCCCGGAUCUGGAGGCCGAAUCGGAGACGAUGUGUCUGGGGCGAGUAGAGCACAGGGAAGCCUGGCUGUGAACCUGUGGGUCCCGCGUGGCCGGGGCUUCUGGGUCCAGUAUCCGAUCCCGAAGAGGCAGUCUCUUGCCUGCAGGGUCCUUCCUGGCUUCGGGGACAGCACCCAUGGGACCAGCCGGAAGGAGGUUCUCGUCCCGACCCCUUGUACAGCAGCCUCAUAGGCCGGGGCCACUCUGCCUUGCUGAGUGUCCUUCGUGACCUGGCACUUCGCAGACACGCCUUGGGUGAUGUUCCCGAUGGCGUCUGGGGACCCGCGUCUGUCACCCUGACGGUUUCUAGCCGGACCUCUAAAGCCGGCUCCGAGGUUAGCUUUAGCUCCGCGCCCUGCUUUAAAUCGUUACGUCGUGACUUUGCUCUGUCAUCUGUAGUGUGCCUCGUGGCGAUCCUGCACCCACGUGGAAGCCGCGAUGUCAGCAGGAGAUAGAAGGGCAUUUCACAAAAAGCACAAAGUUUUCACGCCAGUGGCCCAGCCACGGUGGCGGCUUCAUACAUUCCUUCCUGUGGUGGUCCCCACACCCGGGUCACGCGUCUGGGAGUGGCGGGAAGCACAGACCUCCCUGGUCCACGUGGAGAGACGACCCGCUUCGCAGGCACCCGGCUUGGGAGGCUGCCUGACACGCCACAGAUAACUGCGUGGUCACCUGACAGCCUCCUGUCCACGCAUCCCCGCUCAUGACACGCCUCACUGUUUCUAGGCCACAUGGUUUGUCUGCUUUUCAGAUUGUAAAUCUCAAAAAAAAUGUUCUGAUAUGUUGAAAAAAUCCCCAUGUAAGUGGCCCCCCCAAGUUCAAGCCCACGUCCACGUCAGCGUAACCUCGGCAAGCUGCGCCCACUGUCCCGAACUGCGUUUUCCUGCGUGUGGAUUCUCCCCCCCACCCCCGCCCAGAAGGGGAAAAUGUACAGGAAAAGCUAUUUCGACGUAUUUAGGAUGAAGUUUAAGUUACUACUGAGAACAUGGGUAUCGUGGUUGAAAUUUUGGGACACGUGUUUUAAGCAAAAAGUGCUAAAGUGAAUUGAA